CAGUCGCCACGGUAAUACGAAGGGUGCAAGCGUUAAUCGGAAUUACUGGGCGUAAAGCGUGCGUAGGCGGUUUGUUAAGUCUGCUGUGAAAUCCCCGGGCUCAACCUGGGAAUGGCAGUGGAUACUGGCAAGCUAGAGUGUGUCAGAGGAUGGUGGAAUUCCCGGCGUAGCGGUGAAAUGCGUAGAGAUCGGGAGGAACAUCAGUGGCGAAGGCGGCCAUCUGGGACAACACUGACGCUGAGGCACGAAAGCGUGGGGAGCAAACAGGAUUAGAUACCCCUGUAGUCCCUGUCUCUUAUAC
This 301-nucleotide ribosomal RNA is filed under the name uncultured bacterium. RNAcentral describes it as "partial 16S ribosomal RNA". It matches the Rfam family "Bacterial small subunit ribosomal RNA", at positions 509 to 807 of the family's 1533-position model. The record is from RNAcentral.